This 58-nucleotide transfer RNA is filed under the name Felis catus (domestic cat). It matches the Rfam family "tRNA", at positions 8 to 63 of the family's 71-position model. Rfam says of the family: Transfer RNA (tRNA) molecules are approximately 80 nucleotides in length. Their secondary structure includes four short double-helical elements and three loops (D, anti-codon, and T loops). The record is from Rfam by way of RNAcentral. Lineage: Eukaryota; Metazoa; Chordata; Mammalia; Carnivora; Felidae.
UGGCUCAGUUGGUAGAGCAUGUGACUCUCGAUCUCGGGGUCAUGAGUUCAAGCCUCAU